AUGAACGCUGGCGGCGUGCUUAGCCCAUGCCAGUCGAACGAUGAAGCCCAGCUUGCUGGGUGGAUUAGUGGCGAACGGGUGAGUAACACGUGAGUAACCUGCCCUUGACUCUGGGAUAAGCCUGGGAAACUGGGUCUAAUACUGGAUAUGACUUCUCAUCGCAUGGUGGGGGGUGGAAAGAUUUAUUGGUCUUGGAUGGACUCGCGGCCUAUCAGCUUGUUGGUGAGGUAAUGGCUCACCAAGGCGACGACGGGUAGCCGGCCUGAGAGGGUGACCGGCCACACUGGGACUGAGACACGGCCCAGACUCCUACGGGAGGCAGCAGUGGGGAAUAUUGCACAAUGGGCGCAAGCCUGAUGCAGCGACGCCGCGUGAGGGAUGACGGCCUUCGGGUUGUAAACCUCUUUCAGUAGGGAAGAAGCGAGAGUGACGGUACCUGCAGAAGAAGCGCCGGCUAACUACGUG
This 465-nucleotide ribosomal RNA is filed under the name uncultured bacterium. RNAcentral's name for it is "partial 16S ribosomal RNA". It matches the Rfam family "Bacterial small subunit ribosomal RNA", at positions 29 to 507 of the family's 1533-position model. The record is from RNAcentral.